RNAcentral lists this ribosomal RNA (573 nucleotides) under Triticum aestivum (bread wheat). Its description in RNAcentral is "partial small subunit ribosomal RNA". Lineage: Eukaryota; Viridiplantae; Streptophyta; Magnoliopsida; Poales; Poaceae. The record is from RNAcentral.
AUGCCUGCAGAAUCAAUGAAUCGUGCAAAGGAUGCUAAUGCUUCUGCCACAAGGACUCCGACAAGAUAUUCUAGGCAGAUGAAUGAGUUUGAUCAGAAAUCAAGCGGCUCAAGGAACUCUGGAAACUUUUCAGUAGCGCAACAAAAGUGGGAUUCCAAGGGCGACCUCAGGUCCGAUGCAAAAACAAAAACGAGCUCAAGUAUUCCUUCGAAAUUUCCUGAAGAAGGAGGGAGCUCUGAGUCAUCACUGUCAUCUCUCGCGCAACAUCAAGGCUGUCACUCGCAAGAUAAGGGACACAAGUCGCCUUUAUACAAUUGCCCUUGGUCGACGUUUCUCGUACCUGCAGGUUGUAGGUUCCCUGCAAUAUCAGCAGCCAGCCCAUUCCUCCGGGUGUACAGUCCAGCUGUCCCCGCCCAAAAAGAGGCACAAAUAAAGCAGGAAUUCAUAGCGAUGCUUGCGAUGUCACCUGAAUGGUGGCGUCGUUUGCUGCAACAUGGUGCCCUACCCGACCGUGACCCUGGUGAGUACCUGACCACUACAUGGUGUCAGCUGAAUUUUUUGAAGCGACAAUGA